UUAGGAAUCUUCCACAAUGGGCGAAAGCCUGAUGGAGCGACGCCGCGUGAGGGAUGAAGGCCUUAGGGUUGUAAACCUCUAAAAGAGGGACGAUAAUGACGGUACCUCUUGAAUAGCACCGGCUAACUCCGUGCCAGCAGCCGCGGUAAUACGGAGGGUGCAAGCGUUAUCCGGAAUCACUGGGCGUAAAGGGCGCGUAGGCGGUCUGUUAAGUCCGAUGUUAAAUCCCGGGGCUCAACCCCGGAUAAGCGUUGGAUACUGGCAGGCUAGACGGUUGGAGAGGCGAGUGGAAUUACCAGUGUAGCGGUGGAAUGCGUAGAUACUGGUAGGAACACCCAUUGCGAAGGCAGCUCGCUGGACAACACGUGACGCCGAGGCGCGAAAGUGUGGGGAGCAAACC
This 400-nucleotide ribosomal RNA is filed under the name uncultured bacterium. RNAcentral's name for it is "bacterial SSU rRNA". It matches the Rfam family "Bacterial small subunit ribosomal RNA", at positions 355 to 774 of the family's 1533-position model. The record is from RNAcentral.